Molecule: ribosomal RNA, 920 nt
Filed under: uncultured bacterium
Lineage: Bacteria
Description: bacterial SSU rRNA
Rfam family: Bacterial small subunit ribosomal RNA
Source: RNAcentral
AGAGUUUGAUCCUGGCUCAGAGUGAACGCUGGCGGUAGGCCUAACACAUGCAAGUCGAACGGCAGCACAGGAGAGCUUGCUCUCUGGGUGGCGAGUGGCGGACGGGUGAGGAAUACAUCGGAAUCUACCUUUUCGUGGGGGAUAACGUAGGGAAACUUACGCUAAUACCGCAUACGACCUAUGGGUGAAAGUGGGGGACCGCAAGGCCUCACGCGAUUAGAUGAGCCGAUGUCCGAUUAGCUAGUUGGCGGGGUAAUGGCCCACCAAGGCGACGAUCGGUAGCUGGUCUGAGAGGAUGAUCAGCCACACUGGAACUGAGACACGGUCCAGACUCCUACGGGAGGCAGCAGUGGGGAAUAUUGGACAAUGGGCGCAAGCCUGAUCCAGCCAUACCGCGUGGGUGAAGAAGGCCUUCGGGUUGUAAAGCCCUUUUGUUGGGAAAGAAAUCCUAUCGAUUAAUACUCGGUGGGGAUGACGGUACCCAAAGAAUAAGCACCGGCUAACUUCGUGCCAGCAGCCGCGGUAAUACGAAGGGUGCAAGCGUUACUCGGAAUUACUGGGCGUAAAGCGUGCGUAGGUGGUUGUUUAAGUCUGCUGUGAAAGCCCUGGGCUCAACCUGGGAAUUGCAGUGGAUACUGGGCAACUAGAGUGUGGUAGAGGGAUGCGGAAUUUCUGGUGUAGCAGUGAAAUGCGUAGAGAUCAGAAGGAACAUCCGUGGCGAAAGCGGCAUCCUGGGCCAACACUGACACUGAGGCACGAAAGCGUGGGGAGCAAACAGGAUUAGAUACCCUGAUAGUCCACGCCCUAAACGAUGCGAACUGGAUGUUGGGUGCAACUUGGCACCCAGUAUCGAAGCUAACGUGUUAAGUUCGCCGCCUGGGGAGUACGGUCGCAAGACUGAAACUUAAAUGAAUUGACGG